Molecule: long non-coding RNA, 685 nt
Filed under: Malus domestica (apple)
Lineage: Eukaryota; Viridiplantae; Streptophyta; Magnoliopsida; Rosales; Rosaceae
Description: long non-coding RNA (MDOM_LNC002438)
Source: RNAcentral
UUCCUUGCGAAGGCCUGCAUUUUGCAGGUUUUUUGUCCGACUUCCAGAGCUUAUAUCGAGCUUGAUUCUCCACCAAAAUCAAUAAUUCAAGAGCCAUUUUGAAGUUAGAAAUGUAGAGAGAAACACCAUACCAAGGUGAGGCCGAGUUAAGGUCGGUGUUGGCCAAAAAAAUGGCCUGAAAGUUGUCAAAUGACCACGGUUACUAAUUUUCCAGAAAUCUGGAAAACUUCCUCCCUUGCCAUUUAUGUCAUGAAACCAAUCCAAACUUCACUCAUUAAGCCUAAAAGUCAUUUUAAACCACAAGGGGGAGAUCACACAAAGCAUAAUCGACACUCACCUUCAUAGAAAGUGGUGAGAUCCAUGCUGAAUAGUCUCCGCAGUGUUAGAACUCUAAGAUUCGAGAGCUAUUCCCGUUGGGAUGUCUGGAAUUAAACCUAGGGCUAGGUUUCAGAUGAUAUGAUAUCUUGGGAACAUUGGUUCGAUGGUCAUCUGCCAUGGAAGACGGCGAUGGUGAUGACCUUAACCUCACGGUUGUCCUGUGUUUGUAGAGAUGAGAGAGACGACAUGGAGAUUGAGGGAGAAAGAUGCAUAACAAGAGAGAGACAGAGGGACAUGGUAUGGUGGUUCAGGUGUAGUUCACUGGAAAGGUGGUGAGGUGGUGGUUGUACUGCUCGGCUCCACCUUU